CGACCCCGGGAGGGGGGGAAUCCCCCGUUAAUUUAACCUUUCAAUAAGGGGAGAAAA
This 57-nucleotide ribosomal RNA is filed under the name Mangifera indica (mango). Its description in RNAcentral is "partial 28S ribosomal RNA". The record is from RNAcentral. Lineage: Eukaryota; Viridiplantae; Streptophyta; Magnoliopsida; Sapindales; Anacardiaceae.